RNAcentral lists this transfer RNA (56 nucleotides) under Aedes aegypti (yellow fever mosquito). It matches the Rfam family "tRNA", at positions 9 to 63 of the family's 71-position model. From Rfam's summary of the family: Transfer RNA (tRNA) molecules are approximately 80 nucleotides in length. Their secondary structure includes four short double-helical elements and three loops (D, anti-codon, and T loops). Further hydrogen bonds mediate the characteristic L-shaped molecular structure. tRNAs have two regions of fundamental functional importance: the anti-codon, which is responsible for specific mRNA codon recognition, and the 3' end, to which the tRNAs corresponding amino acid is attached (by aminoacyl-tRNA synthetases). tRNAs cope with the degeneracy of the genetic code in two manners: having more than one tRNA (with a specific anti-codon) for a particular amino acid; and 'wobble' base-pairing, i.e. permitting non-standard base-pairing at the 3rd anti-codon position. Lineage: Eukaryota; Metazoa; Arthropoda; Insecta; Diptera; Culicidae. The record is from Rfam by way of RNAcentral.
AGCUUAAUUGGUAAAGCACUCGUCUAGCAUACAAGAGUCCUGGGUUCGAAUUCCAG